AGAUUAAGUUAUUAAGGGCGCACGGUGGAUGCCUUGGCACUAGAAGCCGAUGAAGGACGUUACUAACGACGAUAUGCUUUGGGGAGCUGUAAGUAAGCUUUGAUCCAGAGAUUUCCGAAUGGGGAAACCCAGCAUGAGUUAUGUCAUGUUAUCGAUAUGUGAAUACAUAGCAUAUCAGAAGGCACACCCGGAGAACUGAAACAUCUUAGUACCCGGAGGAAGAGAAAGAAAAUUCGAUUCCCUUAGUAGCGGCGAGCGAAAUGGGAAGAGCCCAAACCAACAAGCUUGCUUGUUGGGGUUGUAGGACACUCUAUACGGAGUUACAAAGGACGACAUUAGACGAAUCAUCUGGAAAGAUGAAUCAAAGAAGGUAAUAAUCCUGUAGUCGAAAAUGUUGUCUCUCUUGAGUGGAUCCUGAGUACGACGGAGCACGUGAAAUUCCGUCGGAAUCUGGGAGGACCAUCUCCUAAGGCUAAAUACUCUCUAGUGACCGAUAGUGAACCAGUACCGUGAGGGAAAGGUGAAAAGCACCCCGGAAGGGGAG
This 544-nucleotide ribosomal RNA is filed under the name Staphylococcus aureus. RNAcentral's name for it is "partial 23S ribosomal RNA". It matches the Rfam family "Bacterial large subunit ribosomal RNA", at positions 1 to 538 of the family's 2925-position model. The record is from RNAcentral. Lineage: Bacteria; Bacillati; Bacillota; Bacilli; Caryophanales; Staphylococcaceae.